UGUUUUUUUUACAUAAGAUGUAAUUGGAGCCUUUCAAGAAGUGACAAAUACUAACAGGGGAAAUGGGAGAUUAAGAUCGAUUACUUUUACCCUCAAAGAUGCUAGUGGCAAUAUUCUUCAUUGUUGCUUGUGGGAUGACCAUGCCAAGCUGUGUGCCGAUGAAUUCGACAAAUUUGAUGGAACUCAACCUCAACCAUAUGUUAUACUUGUCAAACAUGCAAGGGUUAAGCCGGAACAAGCUCCUUACCCACUCUGCUUCACAAAUACUUGGGAUGGAACUCGAGUUAUGUUCAAUCCACCAUUACUAGAUUUUGCGCUGUUCAAAGAGAAGUAUGUUUGAUUUAAUUAUUCGUAUCCCGUACAUGCUCAAUAUUUUGUGAAUCUUUACUAUUGCUUGAUUUAUGUUUGUUUUGACUUAGGUUUAAAGAUCUUCCAUCAGAUGCUCUUUCCUUAUCUCAAAUUGCUUCUCAAUACAGUCAGGCCUCCCAA
Molecule: long non-coding RNA, 489 nt
Organism: Medicago truncatula (barrel medic)
Lineage: Eukaryota; Viridiplantae; Streptophyta; Magnoliopsida; Fabales; Fabaceae
Exons: 3
Source: RefSeq, a predicted model, not a curated record